Molecule: long non-coding RNA, 3799 nt
Filed under: Xyrichtys novacula (pearly razorfish)
Lineage: Eukaryota; Metazoa; Chordata; Actinopteri; Labriformes; Labridae
Source: RNAcentral
AGUGGGCCAUUUUCCCCUUCAAAGGGGAGGAAAAAUAAGAAGAAAGAAAGAAAGAAAGAACUAGGGCCCCGGUGGGGCACUGUCGGGCCCGAGCCGCGUCGCGCCGCCCCCAGCGCGACCGCCUCCCUGUCCCAUUCACGUCCUCUGGCUGUCGCCCUCUCUGGUGACGCCCAUCACUGCAAAGACCCUUUUCCUUCAUCUGUGUUAGCUGUUCUUCCUGCCAGUGCAUGUUGCUUUCACUUACACUUGCCACAGCCAGCCUUGUGAGUGCCUAGCCUAUUGGAUAUCACGGUCACCUACACAGGACAGUCAUUACCUUUCUAUUAAUACUUUGUUUUUAAUUUCACAUUAAUUUCCAUAUUGUAUAAACGACUGGAAAAAACUUGAGCCCCUGCCCCUGUAUAAUCAUGUGCACGUCCCUGUUCUAGCUCCAAGGUGAAUCUUCACUGCUCAUGUUCUCCUCAGAAGCAGUCACCUCACUCCCCUCAGGUUACUAUACACAUGCACCAACUGCCUGCUUCAGGUUUGGAUGGAGCUUCAUGUUUGUCUUUUGGAGAAAUGAGCAGUCAAGUUGUGUUUGAAAUUUGAUUUUUUUCAGGGGCAAAAGGAGCCUCUGCAUUCUUGUCAAAUAUGUAAAUAGCAUGUUUUUGCAGGUGCUAAAAAAAGACUCUGAGUGUGUGUGUGUGUGUGUGUGUGUGUGUGUGUGUGUGUGUGUGUGUGUGUGUGUGUGAAUCCUGCAGUACUCUGAGAAGAAUAAGCAUAUUUCUGAGGUGAAUUUUGAAGAUUCAUCUGAGAGUCAGGAGGGCUGAUCAUUCCCUUACCCUUUAGAUGUCUGUCUAUGUCUGUUUUUGUGUAAUAAUGAAAGAAUCCCAACACAAAAAGGCUCUGUUGAUGUUUUUUUUGUUGUUCAUUCAUAUUCAAACCACUAUUUUAUAUCACUGCUAAUACGCCAAGACCAUUUUAUGGUAUUUAGCUUUAUUAUUUCUAUGCAUUUUGCAAGGACAGAAACCAAGGCCUUCACUAAAAUUUCCAUAAACUUUAGGAAAGGACCUCUGGUUGUUUAAGGGGGUCAUUUCUGCAAAAACAUAUUCUUCCUAAAUUUUGAAGGUCAAACCUUAGAUCCAUUAGGUUUAAAUAGAAAAAGCAUUAAAAUAUGUUAGGAUUAUAGCAUAUGACAAAUGUGUGCCUCUCAAUGGCCAUAACUACUUUGUCUGCUGGCUCUGCAGUCGAUUGACGCUCCCCAGCGUUCAAGUCACAUGACAUAUUUAACCGGAUGUAGCUGCAAGACGGAGCCUCGUUGACUCUCCGUUUCAACUUAUCUCCAAAGUGAGGACCUUAAACUAUAUACCAGUUUUUAAAUUGUGUUGAUAGGCCAAAUAAAACCAGAGUUAUGAUAAAUUAUGUCUGCAAUACUUUUUUUCUGCUUAUUUUGAUCACGUUCGGCGCUCGAUCGCGUUGUAUGAGACAGGAAAACAUAGCAUGCAGACAUUAGCGACAGGUCUUACAGGCGGAAAAGGCUUGCCAAAAGAAAAAAAAAACACACCACAACAUUUCUCCUAUUGGUGGAAAACUUCACCACAACAACCAAUCCAAAAUUAUAUGGUGACUGAUUGACAAGGGGCGGGCGCUUACGGUCUUCCUGCAACAUGAGAAGGGAGGGAGGGACUCUCAGCAGGGAUGCAGUCUGGGACACGUAGUUGCAAACCUAGCGACUUUGUUGUUAGAUUCAAAGACUUUUCAGACCACCUAACGCCUUUUUUUUUUUAGAAAGAAAGGGACUUCUAUCGACUUCUUCUGGAGUUUAGAGACUCAGACAUGAAGCAGGCUUUCCUUACUGAGGAGUUAGCAACGCUGCUAAUGGUGCAGAGCCACACAUGUGCUCCGAGCUCUGCAUGAAGCUGACAGAUCUGCAGCAGUUAGCAGGUUUCACCCUCAGAGACCACCAGGGGUUCAUGUUGAGGCAUUUUCAGUUUUUUUUUUUUUUUGCCAUAGACACUGUCAGCACAAUCUGCAGUUACACUAACAAAAAUGCUGCAAAAAACAAAGAAUUAUGGAAAAAUUACACAUGGACUAACAUAGAGGAGGAUCUACACAAGUUUUUUACAUCAUGUUUUACAUCAUGCAUCAUUUACAUCAUGAUUUUUUGUAGUGGCAUAAAUAAAAGUGACAUUUGUGAGACUAUACAGCGUUUUGUAAAUAAUUUUACAAAGAACGCCUGGGCCAUUGCCUGCAUUUUGAUGUAAAUAGAGGUAAAUUACUAUGUUCUUUGUUAAAAAUUUGCAUAUGUUUUGAAGUUUACAAUUUUUAUUUGAAGUUUAAGUUUUAAAAACAGUUCAUCACACAUAUUUGUGGUUUUCACAGUAAAAAUGUUACUUUUUUCCACUCGGAUUUUAUGUUUUGUGUGUGAAUUUGGGUCCAUUGUGUAAAUACAGUAUGUCAAAAUGAUAAAAUAACUGUAAAUUCACACAGGUGAGGUUGUGCUGAAAAAAAUGAUACCAGGCAAGGCAAGGUAAAAAAAUUUUAAGAGGAAAUAUAAAGGUAAAAUCUAAAGUAGUCAAAAACGGCCAAUAGUGACUCCCAGACUCAAUAGACAAGUCCCUUUGGCGCCACUCAGUGGGCAAAACUACUUUGUCUGCUGUAAUGUAUAUUUGGGUCAUCUUUGGCGCCCCCUAGAACCUAAACCGUGGAGUGCAGCGUCAUGAUUUGUACAACUUUGAAUGGCCAUGGGGUGUAGAUUGGCCUGAGCAAAUUUGGUGGCGGUGGAACUAAAGCCUUCGGAGGAGUUAGCGAAAUUCCAAUGUGUGCGGAUCGGGAAAAAAUGCAAAAUAACCCUUUAACCGUACAUUUUACAGAUACGUGCCUAUUGACUUUUUCGUAGAUCUUAUUGAGAUACACGUGAUUGUCAAAUUUUGGGUCAAUAUGACAAAGCGUAUAGGCGUGACACUCAACAAUGUGUAUUUUCACCUUAGGGGACAAGAAAAAAUGGACUUUUUUCUCCUGCCAUGUGGGGGCGCUCUUUUGGGGAGUAAAAAUUCCUUCACAAAUGUGUUGAUGGCUGGACAUUGCAUCAUCCUAGAGAACUUGGAGGCCAGUGAGGACAAAAAUAAAAAGUUAUAAGACUUAUAAGACUGUGGAUUUUUGGGUUAUCUUUGGCGCCCCCUAGAACGUAAACCGUGGGGUGCAGCGUCAUGAUUUGUACAACUUUUAAUGGCCAUGGGGUGUAGAUUGGCCUGAGCAAAUGUGGUGCCGGUGGAACGAAUGCCUUCGGAGGAGUUAGCGAAAUUCCAAUGUGUGCAGAUCGGCAAAAAAUGCGAAAUAACCCUCUAACCGUACAUUUCACAGAUGCGCCCACGCUGACUUUUUCGUAGACCGUAUUGAGAUACACGUGUGUGUCAAUUUUUGUGUCAAUAUGACAAAGCGUACAGGCGUGACAGUCAAUAGUGUGAAUUUUCGCCUUAGGGGGCGCUAUGGAGCCAUUUUGCAUUUUAUUGUUUGGGCGACUUCAGAAUAUCGAAUUUUUCACCAGGCCCGGUCGUCCUGCCAAAUUUCAUGAGUUUUCGCCAGUGGGAAGUGGGCCAUUUUCCCCUUCAAAGGGGAGGAAAAAUAAGAAGAAAGAAAGAAAGAAAGAACUAGGGCCCAGUUGGGGCACUGGCGGGCCCGAGCUGUGUCACGCCGCCCCCAACACGACCGCCUCUCCCUCCCGAUCGCGUCACACUCAAGGUUCAACGAUUGUGUGCGCACUUGUCUGUGGUCAUUUACCAUUAUAAUGAAUGGGAGGCGCAGUUUCUACCAAAACGCU